Long non-coding RNA from Aplysia californica (California sea hare), 2279 nucleotides. RefSeq lists it as uncharacterized. NCBI's taxonomy places the organism in Eukaryota, Metazoa, Mollusca, Gastropoda, Aplysiida, Aplysiidae. The transcript has 2 exons. The record is from RefSeq and is a predicted model, not a curated record.
GACAAGCAUGGUUUCAUCAUCAUGCUUCAACUUUUUAACAAUGCGCAAGGCCUUAAAUCCCUCACCCAAUUUUUCGGCGAAAUGGCAUAGCUAAUGGCCCGACCCCACGCUCAAUAGAGGAGCAAACAAGCGACUUUAGAGAGUCGUUAAGAAGUUCAAGUGCUCGUCAAGAACCGGACACAGAAAGGAUUCAAGGACAUAUUGGAGCAGCCUCAACACGGCAAAUAAGAAAAUCUUAACACUAGCAAAGAUAAUAGACAGCAAGUAUCACAUACCAAUGAGAGCUUUGAUCUUGGACUUGAUGAAACGCUCUUGGUAGUACGGCGAAUUCGCCAGUUCCUCUACAUCCAUAGUGGCAAAUUUUUCUGUCAUUGGCGCGGUCGGGGCUAAUUCAUUUGUUACAAAAUUUCCAAAAACAGGGUAGCAAUUCAAUCGAAAUCCCCCCAAGGAGGAACGCCAAGAGGCACUGAAAACUUGCAGCCGCAGUGGAACCCUGCGAAUGCUGAUUAUAAUGGGUCCAACGACCACCAAGCGUGAAUUAGUCACAAACCGCUGCACUUGUCAGAUAAAUGAUCCGAGGCGGGGCUUACCGGGAAUGUCCUAGUUGCUCCCACAACUGAUGACAGCGUCACUACAAUAACAGUAAGCUACAUAAGGAAUUAUCCAAACACCUCCAAAAUGAAGAGCAAACGACACCAACUAGAACCACAGAGAAAACAGUACGUCCUCGUUGACAGCCGUGUGAAGUGUGUAGUACAUGUGCCGGCACAUGACUUCCUACACAUUUACAACACUAGUGCCGGAACAGGACACACAGACACACUGCACGCUAGACAAACGGGAAAGCUGGUCCAAGUCAAGGCAGCAACACCAACGAUUCGUUGACAGAGUGGUUUUUAUCCUGUUUUUUUCUUCUUUAGGUCAGAUCUACUUGAGAUAUCCAAGCACAGGACGCCAGUAGCAGCAAGAUAACGUAGUCAGCCCCACAGCCCGCUGUAUUAUCAGACAGAAGAUAGCGUGUCACAUGACCCCGCGACACCAUGUGUCAUCUUCUUAACGAUGCUGCCAACAGUUUAAAAAAUGACACGUUUUAAUCAACCACUGCGGGCUCACAACAGGCAGCGGACAUAAAAAAAUGUCUCCCGAGUCGUCAUCUAACUGGAUACCACAUUGCUGGCGCCCACCGUGAUUCAACGCGUCAUCAUGUGAAGCACAUGGCCGUAAGGACGUGUGGCGUGCAACAGUAGUAUAUUAUGGUAGGCAGUGUUCCCUCAUUAAAAAGACGGCAAAGUUAGUGUGCUCUAUAGCUCUAUGUUUUGUGACGGUGAUGUGAGGAGCUUACUCGGCUAGUGCUUGUAGCGUUGUGUAAUACACUUCCACAUCAAAGUGUGAGCCACACCAUCGUUUUAAGAGUGCAGAUGCGAGACCGCUACAGCCACCUCAAGGCGUUGUCAAGUGAUGAUGAAAGGAUUUCUUCAAUCGGUCAAAUUAGCUUCAGUGUUCUCUUGUCGUACCGAGAUGCAACAAACGACAUGAUCCCAAAGAUGACUGACAAACCCCCAGAGAGCACCAUCAACUGAGAGCACCAGUGUGGACAGUAUCCGGCCAGAAGUGUUCCAGCCCUCCACAAGAGAACACAGUGCCCUUCAUCUUCAUCCCAUCUGCAGCAGUUGGCAUUUAGAUGUGUGCCUAUGAUCCAACAGUGUAUAGUGUAAUAUGGACCACUCCAUAAGCAUUGUGCAUUAUUACUCAGCUAUAAAGGUCAACAAGUUGUUCUGCUAGCUGUAACAGUUAAAUUACGGACAAGUCUCACUCCAUGAACUGAACUGGAAACAUGUCUAACAUACUAUACAGAAAUAUCUGUAAAUGGAAGACGGAAAAAUAAAAUUAAUUCUUAAAAGUCCAUUCGUAUUCUUUACUUUUUUUUAAACAGGAAGUGGGGGUAAAACUAUAAUUCUAAACACACAUGAUGGUCCCAUGUGACUAAAAUUGCAAUGUUUAUUAAAUUCAUGGGUAUAAUGACAGAGAAAUCAGUAGGACUCAAGCCACAAAGAAUCCAAAAUGAUGAUUCUCUUUACUCCCUCCUCCCAACAAUAAUAAAAUACAAUAAUACAAUAUAGCGCUAGGCGCGGCCCCUCUGUAUGUUUCUGAUCUACCUGACGAUUUACCAACAGAUGUCUGACAACGGUACCACUUGACAGUCGAGUAUCUACUACAAUCCACAAUACUAGAAAUGUUCCAUCUGAAUCUGCAUUAAAGGAGUAAUUAGUUGCUUUAAA